This 291-nucleotide long non-coding RNA is filed under the name Pan troglodytes (chimpanzee). Its description in RNAcentral is "lncRNA (ENSPTRG00000054095.1)". Lineage: Eukaryota; Metazoa; Chordata; Mammalia; Primates; Hominidae. The record is from RNAcentral.
GGAAUAUGGCUUGUUUAGUGAAAAGCCACUGUGACAUCACAACACAGACUCCAGCAUAUGUCCUCCUUACAGUAGGUCAGAGCUAGUCUAGGUGCACCAGUCACAGGACACUGAGACUCAGGGUGGCAGAUGUCAAGUCCUUCAUUGUUCAGUUUAAGCUCAGAGAAGAUCUCUGCCUUGAUAGUCUGCAGUGCAUCCCAUGAACUCAGUAUGGAGAAGUUGCCUUGUCCCCAUCAAUCCAAUGGAGUCCAUUCAUGUCUCCAAACCUUGGCUUAAUGAUUGUAUCCCUGC